RNAcentral lists this ribosomal RNA (349 nucleotides) under Glomeromycotina sp. Its description in RNAcentral is "partial large subunit ribosomal RNA". Lineage: Eukaryota; Fungi; Glomeromycota. The record is from RNAcentral.
UUGAAAGGGAAACGAUUGAAGUCAGUCAUGCUCGCAGGGAAUCAACAUGGUGGUUUUCUUCCUUGUGCACUUCCUUGCCUGGCAGGUUAGCAUUAAUUUUGAUUGUCAUUAAAGAACCGGGGGAAUGUAGCUUCUUCGGGAGUGUUAUAGACCUUGGUAGAUGUGACGAUUGAGAUUGAGGAUUGCAGCGAAUGCUUCUUGGCUAGUCACUUGGCUUCUGACGGUCACCUUGCUUUCGAUAGCUUGCUAACGUUGGUGAGAUUUGAUUGUCUAGAUGUUAAUGUGAUCAUAAAUUCGCUAAGGAUGCUGACGUAAUGGCUUUAAACGACCCGUCUUGAAACACGGACCA